UACGGGAGGCAGCAGUGGGGAAUAUUGCACAAUGGGCGCAAGCCUGAUGCAGCCAUGCCGCGUGUAUGAAGAAGGCCUUCGGGUUGUAAAGUACUUUCAGUCGUGAGGAAGGUGUUAAGGUUAAUAACCUUAGCAAUUGACGUUAGCGACAGAAGAAGCACCGGCUAACUCCGUGCCAGCAGCCGCGGUAAUACGGAGGGUGCGAGCGUUAAUCGGAAUUACUGGGCGUAAAGGGCACGCAGGCGGUUAAUAAGUUGGAUGUGAAAUCCCCGGGCUUAACCUGGGAAUGGCAUUCAAGACUGGUUAGCUAGAGUCUUGUAGAGGGGGUAGAAUUCCAUGUGUAGCGGUGAAAUGCGUAGAGAUGUGGAGGAAUACCGGUGGCGAAGGCGGCCCCUGGGACAAAGACUGACGCUCAUGUGCGAAAGCGUGGGGAGCAAACGAGGAUUAGAUACC
This 453-nucleotide ribosomal RNA is filed under the name uncultured bacterium. RNAcentral's name for it is "bacterial SSU rRNA". It matches the Rfam family "Bacterial small subunit ribosomal RNA", at positions 340 to 786 of the family's 1533-position model. The record is from RNAcentral.